RNAcentral lists this ribosomal RNA (274 nucleotides) under uncultured prokaryote. Its description in RNAcentral is "partial 16S ribosomal RNA". It matches the Rfam family "Bacterial small subunit ribosomal RNA", at positions 524 to 796 of the family's 1533-position model. The record is from RNAcentral.
UACGUAGGACCCAAGCGUUAUCCGGAGUGACUGGGUGUAAAGAGUUGCGUAGGUGGCUCGUUAAGUAGAUAGUGAAAUCGUGUGGCUCAACCAUUACGGCUAUUAUCUAAACUGGCGGGCUCGAGAAUGGUAGAGGUAGCUGGAAUUUCUAGUGUAGGAGUGAAAUCCGUAGAUAUUAGAAGGAACACCAAUGGCGUAGGCAGGCUACUGGACCAUUUCUGACACUGAGGCACGAAAGCGUGGGGAGCGAACCGGAUUAGAAACCCAGUAGUCC